UACAGAGGAUGCAAGCGUUAUCCGGAAUGAUUGGGCGUAAAGCGUCUGUAGGUGGCUUUUUAAGUCCGCCGUCAAAUCCCAGGGCUCAACUCUGGACAGGCGGUGGAAACUACCAAGCUGGAGUACGGUAGGGGCAGAGGGAAUUUCCGGUGGAGCGGUGAAAUGCGUAGAUAUCAUUUGGAACGCCAAUGGUGAAAACAGGUAGCUGGGAGUGUGCUGACGCUGAGACACGAAAGCCAGGGGAGCAAACGGG
RNAcentral lists this ribosomal RNA (253 nucleotides) under uncultured bacterium. RNAcentral's name for it is "partial 16S ribosomal RNA". It matches the Rfam family "Bacterial small subunit ribosomal RNA", at positions 524 to 776 of the family's 1533-position model. The record is from RNAcentral.